Long non-coding RNA from Stomoxys calcitrans (stable fly), 2136 nucleotides. RefSeq lists it as uncharacterized. The record is from RefSeq and is a predicted model, not a curated record. Lineage: Eukaryota; Metazoa; Arthropoda; Insecta; Diptera; Muscidae. The transcript is spliced from 3 exons.
CUAUAGAACUUUAACAGCGCUUGCUGAGUAGAAUGCGCUUUUCUAAAACCAAACUGAUAAUAAGGUAUUCGUUUGAUUAUUAACCAUUUUCAAUUUAUUCUUUUAAGAGGUGUUCAAAUAUCUUGCCAAUGUUUGAUAGAAGGGAAAUCGGAUAAUAAUCGGAAGGAAGCAUACUAUCCGAUUUCUUUUUGAUUGGUAUUAUUUUCACCACUUUCCAAUCAGACGGAAAAUAUCCGUUGUUAAUACAAUGUUUAAAAAUAACGGUGAGUAAAUUUAUAGUUGCAUCAGGUAACUUUUUCAAUAUGAAAUUUGAGAUGUCAUCCAACCCACUGAUUUUUUUAUUAUUGAUACGUUGAAAAAUACCUUUAACUUUUUAAUCAGGGUUGCCAAAGUGGUAAUUAUCUUGAUUAUGAACAGCACCAAAAUCAUCAUCAAAGGUAUAAAUGUGACGAGGAAUGGCAUUUGUGAAGCCAAAAUUCUGGAUUGCAAUUCUUCAACUGGAUGUGUGGGUAGUGUUUGGCAGAACGUUUCAGAAUAAAACUCCUGGAACUCGUGCGCAAUUACGGUGGUGCUGGUGCGUACAUCAUUGUUCCGUACAAUUUGAUGGCAGAAUGGAGCUUUUGUUUUACCCGAUAUUUGGUAAAUGUUCAGUUGGCAGUUGGGCCAGGUUUAAUCUCCUGCAGUCUUUCGUCGAAAUAGCUGACCGUCUCCUUAAUAAUAGUCUUUAUCAGUUGAAUUUGUUUGGAUAGCACAACAUAUCUACUGCCUAUCCGGUUCCCCGUUGGAUGAAAAAUAUUUUUCAAUUUCUUUUGCCAUGUGUGUUUAAUUUUAUAAAAUUUCUUUGCCUUUUCAUAAAGAGGAAAUUUAUUGCCUUGGAUAAGGUUUUGUAUGGUUUGGUAUGGGCGUUGUGCAUGGAACUGAAAGAGAAUUUGAAAUCGUCUAUUAAGGAAUCGAUCUCGUGAUCUUCAAGAUUCGAUGAAGAAAGGGGCAUAUUGCGAAGAGAUCCAGCGUCCAUAUGUUGUACAAAAUUAGACCAAUUUGUAUCUUUAUAGGAGGCAUAUAUUCGGGCUGAUAUCAUCAAAAGUUCCGGUUGAUCAACACGACGAGUCAGCUUAACAGGAAAAUGAUCAGAGAAAGAAUGUGAAAAUUUGGCAAGGUUCUGUUCAAUAGAUGUGAGCUUAACAAAAACUGAUCUAAAAAUUAUGAACCAUUUGGAUAUGAAGGCGAAGUGUAACAAAGGCAGCUCACAUCGAGGCUAUUAUCCUCAAGCCAUUUUCGUAAAGUCUUUCCAUUCAUGCCAUCUUUAGGUGCCAUUCCUGAAUGAAGCCAAUGCCGAUUCGAUUGAGAUGAAGAGUAUCCUUUAGGUCUAUUUGUCGACUGAUAUCGACAGGAGAUCUUACAUUGUAUGUUAGAAAUUUCAUUAUCCUAUAGUCCAUAAUUAAUCCUUUGUUUAACAGGCGCAAAAAUUCUGCUUUGGCCUCGGGUUUUGGCAUGUCUGAAUAUUAAGAAAGAAAAAUGUUGACAUUUUGCUCCAAGGUCAAAUCUUCCGGAUCCAGAAAAAGGGAUGCCAAUUUUAAAAAUUGGUCACUUGGUGGUGGUUUUUGUUGUGGCGCUUUAUUGCGUAAGACAAGCUCUAUUUAUAUUGGCCUUGGUACGCUCCCUCUCCUCAAUGGCCUUAGAUAUCCGUUGCUUAAGGGCAGCAACGCUUGAUGGCCCGUCUCACCACAGUUGUUGCUGAAGGGAUCACUUGAGUCAUCCUUUGUACGCUGACAUUCCCCUGGACCAUGCUCCUUAUCACAUUUUACACAAUUAUAAGCUGAAUUUCAAUUCUUUGAGAUGUGUCCCCAUCGUUGGCAUCUUCUACAUUAAAUUUCGGAAUUUUUUUCUUGGUUUUUCCCACGAAACAAAUUGUGUUAGAAGCCAGAAUGAAAGAUGGCUGUUUUAAUUCCUUGGGUGCAAACGUGUAAGAGUGGAUGCCUUUUUCUCGGAGAAGUGCCAUCAUUGGAGAAUGGACAGAUGGUUCAGCAACAAAAUAAUUUACUUUUAUUCAUAUUAAUAUUUUUUACCUUAAAAGAAAAUUUCGGUAUAGUUUCUUUCAAGGUGUCAACAAGAGCCUUGAUGUUCACGUUGUAAAUA